This is a long non-coding RNA of Mauremys reevesii (Reeves's turtle), 1462 nucleotides long. RefSeq lists it as uncharacterized. The transcript is spliced from 3 exons. Lineage: Eukaryota; Metazoa; Chordata; Testudines; Geoemydidae. The record is from RefSeq and is a predicted model, not a curated record.
AAGAAAUCCCCGGUUGUCAGAAUCUUGACCCAGGAGACCUUCCAGAGCCUGUGCGUUUACCACUGAAAAAUUAAAUAGAAAUAACGUGCUGUUUAUAGAGGCUUGAAUGAGGUGCAAAACCCACAACAAGUUUAAGCAUAAAUCUCCUGUUAACAUCCUACUUUUUGGAGAGCAUUAGAACCUUUUGUUCUAAGUCCCUUGAUAAAGAAAUGAGCUGCAGCUGCUGUAAGUGACUCAGGCGCAGUAGAAUUUAGCUGUUCUUUCUCAGAUUCUCUGCAGUGAGGGAGAUGAACUUCCUUGGGUUCUAGUGCCUUCUGGAACUCUCUUGUAUAAUUGUUUAGUUAGAUGAGGCUUCCUAUGACAAGAACCGAGAAUAACAGAUGUAGUUAUUCAACAUCCCAUUUGUCCCAAUAACAAAAAGUGGCUGUGUCUGAAAGGUGGAAAGCUGGCACUUGAAGGAAUAAUCCCUGCAAGAGCUCAAAGCAACAAUGGUAGCAACAGGGUAGCUGCAGUUAAGGUUAAUCACCUUCUAACCAACCAAUAUGUUGGAGAUGGCUGCCUGAAAGAUCGGAAGAACUGCUGUUUGCUCCUUGAAAGGGAACUUUCCAAGGAAAAGAAACUUAGCUCAAGGUAAAGAAAAUAUAUGGAUGGAUGCAGGAGAGGAAAAGUACAAUAUACCAGGAGGAGAAGUCUGCUGGGGAGAAGAGGAGAAGUGACUAGUGGACUAAUGCUGUGGUGGUGAAGUGCCUGAAUAGAAUCCUGACUGGCUUGAAGAGUGAAAAAAAAAGUGUUAAAUGUGGUAAAUAAUAUGGAUGAGACUCCUAAGAGAAGUUUGGUCUGCAGUCUAUGCAACAAAUCUAGGGCCCAGCCCUGUGAAGCGCAGAGUGCUCUAAACUCCCAUCAACUUCACUGUUGAGGAGGUGCAACAUCUCAAAGAAGGAGCAGCUCACCACCUUGUACUAUUGAACCAUCAAAUUGCUCAUAUGGACUCUGCUUCUGCUGGUGUCAUAACCAUUCAGCAGUUGUACCUUACUGCUAAAACUGUGCUCCUUCUGAGCCAUCAGAUGAAAGAUGCUGACAAGGAGGUCAGAUGCAUCAUUUUUUCAUAUAGGGCCAUGACUGUUUUCUGAAAAUUUGCAAAAAUGCUUAAAGCAUUUUACUGACAUUUUGCUGAAAUUUUAUUGUAAGAAUUAUCUUCAGGAAGGAUUUCCAAGAGACCCAGCCUUGGUCCCAGUGAGUAUUUUCUGUUACAGAAGUUCAUUUGCUAUUUGUUUCUUUUUCCUGUGUUUUUGUAUUUUUGUUUAAUUCCAUACUAUGUAUAUUAAUGCAGCAUUUUCUGAAACAAAUGGUAGAGAUGUAUUAAUCUCAGUGUUUCUGGUUUGCUUGGAGCCCAAUAAAAUUAGGAGUUAGGCUGUACUUUAGCUCAAAUAUAACAAUAAAUAAAAAAAUUAAUAUACAAGAA